This 220-nucleotide long non-coding RNA is filed under the name Elaeis guineensis (African oil palm). Its description in RNAcentral is "long non-coding RNA (EGUI_LNC023728)". The record is from RNAcentral. Lineage: Eukaryota; Viridiplantae; Streptophyta; Magnoliopsida; Arecales; Arecaceae.
CCACACCACCAACAACAACUCAAGCCACAGCAGACUCACCAGUAAUCCAACCGACGGAUCAGUGAACUCAUGUAUGUGCAAGUGGAGCUCAACGGUCAUGUGACUCAGGCGAUGGUGGACACGGGGGCAACCCACAACUUCGUUGCCGAUCGUGAAGCUACCCAUCUUGGGUUGAAGCUGGAGAGGGACUCCAGUCGAAUGAAGGCGAUGAACUCGGAAG